UGGGGAAUUUUGCACAAUGGGCGCAAGCCUGAUGCAGCAACGCCGCGUGAACGAUGAAGGUCUUCGGAUCGUAAAGUUCUGUUGCAGGGGAAGAUAAUGACGGUACCCUGUGAGGAAGCCCCGGCUAACUACGUGCCAGCAGCCGCGGUAAUACGUAGGGGGCUAGCGUUAUCCGGAUUUACGGGGCGUAAAGGGUGCGUAGGUGGUCUUUCAAGUCGGUGGUUAAAGGCUACGGCUCAACCGUAGUUAGCCUCCGAAACUGGAAGACUUGAGUGCAGGAGAGGAGAGUGGAAUUCCCAGUGUAGCGGUGAAAUGCGUAGAUAUUGGGAGGAACACCAGUAGCGAAGGCGGCUUUCUGGACUGCAACUGACACUGAGGCACGAAAGCGUGGGUAGCAAACAGG
Molecule: ribosomal RNA, 403 nt
Filed under: Verrucomicrobiota bacterium
Lineage: Bacteria; Pseudomonadati; Verrucomicrobiota
Description: Verrucomicrobia bacterium partial 16S ribosomal RNA
Rfam family: Bacterial small subunit ribosomal RNA
Source: RNAcentral